UCUCCUGCCGCACUCUCUGUCGUGUCUCUCUCUCUGGAGUAAUCUUCUGUCCUUCCUCGUGUACUACAAUUGAAUUUCCAUUUCUUUUGUGUGCUUCUCUUGGAGAACGGUGGACCCUCGUGUUACUGUUUUAUUUGAUCUUUGCUCUUAAUUGUAGUUUUUACCCUUGUGGUCCCUGAUGGCUUCGCACAGUGAUACUCUGGUGGUGUUCUUUGGGGCAACAGCUGGUGCAAAUGGGGGUAAACUGGGGUCGGAUGAGAGGGAAUUAAUUCUCUUGGUGUGGCAAAUUGUGGAUCUACAUGAGAAGAAGGUGGGCAAACUUCAGCGGCGUCUGGUGAAGCCGGACAGUGUGGAUCUCACAGAGCAGUGUAAGGAGGAGACGAGACUCACUGCAGAGGAACUGUGCAAGGCCGAAGAACCGCUGGAGAGCAUCCUACAACAGUUUCACCAGUCUGUAUCAGCUGAGCUCGAGUCUUUGGGCAGAAGCUCAUACACGCUGUGUGUGGACGGCCCACUGCUUAUCCAACAGGUGCUUCACCCUGAGGCCUCCAAAAAGAAUCUGGUCUUGCCGGAGUGUUUCUACUCGUUUGUGGACUUGAGGAAAGAGUUUCACAAAUGCUGCCCCAACGCAGGCACGGUCAAAGAUCUCACUCUGACCUCCAUGCUGGACUAUGUGUGCGUUCCCGAGGUGGUGGAUCAGGAGGCGGGAGUGAGGGAGGUGAAGAACAUGGUCCUGCUAUUGUUGCACCUCCUGGCUGAACCUUACAAUCACACAUUCUCAGAUUAUGAGGUUGUCAACUACAAGUUUGAAUCCGGAGCGUGCAGUAAAACAGAGGCUGUGGACAGCGAGACGGUCAUCAGAGCCCGCGGGUUGCCAUGGCAGUCUUCUGAUCAGGACAUCGCUCGGUUCUUCAAGGGUCUCAACAUUGCCAAAGGAGGCGUUGCUCUGUGUCUAAACGCUCAAGGCCGGAGGAACGGAGAGGCUCUGGUGCGAUUCAUAAACUCCGAGCACAGAGACAUGGCUCUGGACAGACAUAAACACCACAUGGGCAGCAGAUACAUAGAAGUGUAUAAAGCCACAGGAGAGGAGUUUUUGAAAAUCGCUGGAGGCACAUCCAAUGAGGUUGCUCAGUUUCUUUCUAAAGAGAACCAGAUGAUUAUCCGAAUGCGGGGGCUUCCGUUCACUGCAACUCCUCAGGAUGUUCUGGGUUUCCUGGGGCCGGACAGCCCAGUGACGGACGGGAUGGAGGGACUUCUGUUUGUAAAGUACCCAGAUGGGCGUCCCACCGGGGAUGCGUUCGUUCUCUUUGCCUGUGAAGAAUAUGCCCAAAAUGCCCUGAAGAAGCACAAACAAAUCCUGGGCAAGAGAUACAUCGAGCUGUUUCGCAGUACUGCAGCUGAGGUCCAGCAGGUACUGAACCGCUACAUGUCCACUCCACUGAUCUCCACUCUUCCUCCUUCUCCUGCUCCAAUCAUGUCUUUGCCUGUUAUGGCCACGCCUCCCUUCAUCGCCACUGGCAGCUCACGAGACUGCGUCAGACUGAGAGGUCUGCCCUACACCGCUGCCAUCGAAGAGAUCCUGGAGUUUAUGGGGGAACACACCAUUGACAUCAAACCACACGGAGUGCACAUGGUCCUUAACCAGCAGGGUCGUCCAUCCGGUGACGCCUUUAUACAGAUGAGGUCGGCAGACCGCGCGUUCAUGGUGUCUCAGAAGUGCCACAAGAAGAUGAUGAAGGACCGCUAUGUGGAGGUGUUCCAGUGCUCCACCGAAGAGAUGAGCUUUGUACUGAUGGGGGGAACUCUGAACCGCAGCGGCCUUUCACCACCUCCCUGCAAACUGCCCUGUCUCUCUCCACCUGCCUACGCUGCAUUUCCUGCAACCACAGCUAUGCUUCCCAACGAGGCCACAUUGUAUCAGCCCCCCCUGCUGGCCACUCCAAGAACUCCACAGCCCCCAACACACAGCCCUGGGCCCACUUUAGCCUACUACUCCCCACACCCACAGCUGUACAUGAAUAUGAAUAUGAACUACACUGCCUACUAUCCCAGUCCACCGGUCUCUCCCUCCACUAUGGGUUAUUUUGCAGCCCCACCUGGUUCAGUAGCAGCAGCUGUUGCCGGCCAGCCAACCCCUACCAUCCUGUCCCCUCAACAUGGAGCGCUGGUGCGAAUGCAGGGCCUGCCAUACAAUGCCGGGGUCAAAGACAUCCUCAGCUUCUUUCAAGGAUAUCAGCUGACGCCUGAGUAGGCGGAGUCUUCAGAGGACGUAUGUUCCUGAAGACUACAGCAGCUUGGUUGGAGUGAGUGAUCAGGGCCGGAGUCUGAUUCAGUCUAAAGAAUGGCUGUGUCUGUAGGGGGAGCUCCUUCAGCUCCAGGCGGACUCCGUGCUCGUGCUGUAUAAUUGGAGUGGUCAGCGCAGCGGGGAGGCACUGGUGACUUUCCCCAGCGAGAAGGCGGCGAGACAGGCCAUAGCUGAACGCUCCAAUCUUCCCUUUGCUGGUCAUCCCAUCCGCCUGAUCUGCUGCGAGUGACCAAACACGGACCGCAAAACCUACAGAGGGAGGACCGCACUUGAUCCGUCUCACCCCCUUUCUUCCUCAUUACCUGUCUUUGGCUUGCAGACAGUCCCUCUGUUUCUGACGCAAAGCAGUAGUUCAGGAGGGGACCUGACACAGAAACGCUGUAUAUAUGUUUAUAUAUACUCACAAGUGAAACAUCCAAGUAACAGUGCCUUGCUGCUUAUUCACAUGGUGUGUGUGUGUGCGUGUGCGUGUUUGUGUGUGUGUGCGCAUGCGCGUGAUUGACAGACAUAGAGAGCAAUUGUAUGCAUGCUUUACUCCGUUCGUUGUGUGUCUUUUGAUGUCAAGAAAUCUUCUAUCCUUAUUCAGGCCUGACUGUAUGUGUAUAACAAUGCCAGCCAUUAUCUUAUGGAACACAGACGUCAGCAGAAGUUCUUCCAGCAUUUAUAUUAUAUGUGUGUUAAUAUCAUUCCUGAAGCACUGGGCAGUGCAGAACACUUAGGCCUUCCUAGUCUUUGUCUUGUGCUAGGGAACGGAAACACAAUAAAAUACUUCAUACUGCUGUUACAGAAAAAAAGGAUUGUUUUGGAAGUGCAGUGUGAUUGUAAGAAGCCAAAUACUGUAGAUGCUAUAAAGACUGUAAUGCUGCAUAUGACUUAAAGAGGGCAUGAUGGGUUUUCUAAUGUACCUCUAAACUGUUGGACUGAAACAACCUUCAGAGCUGUUUCUUUAUUUAAUAGACCAAGUGUGGACUCCAUAGACUUAAAUGAACUGAUUUUUAGUUUAAUCCAGUUGAAAAGGGAACUUUUUAUUUAAAGAGAAAGAUAAGUUGUUUGUGUGAUCUGCAUGCUUGUUCUUUAUAGAAAGAGGUGUGUAUUCUGUUGCCCCCAUGAGAGAUUAUGUGCAGUCUGAACCACGCCGUGGCCUCGCCUUGUUUUGGACUUGCAAGAAAAUGCAAUCUACUUCAGUUCUUUUCUACUGAUAUCAGGCUGAAUCACAAUCUUUUUCUUUCACGACUACAUUACCCAGAGUGCAAUACAGGCUGAACAAACUGGCACACCUCUCUAGUGAAAGAGGGGGACGUUUUUUUUGUUUUCUGAAAUGUGUAUGUUUGUGUAUGUGUGACUCUUAUAUGCAACCAAUAAAUUGAUAUUGCUCUGACAUAAGCAUAUCAAAUCUUG
This is an RNA transcript of Triplophysa dalaica, 3703 nucleotides long. It is a transcript of the gene named epithelial splicing regulatory protein 2, with no coding region annotated. Lineage: Eukaryota; Metazoa; Chordata; Actinopteri; Cypriniformes; Nemacheilidae. The record is from RefSeq and is a predicted model, not a curated record. The transcript is spliced from 17 exons.